GGCUUAAUUUGAGUCAACACGGGAAACCUCACCCGGCCCGGACACGGAAAGGAUUGAAAGUUCUGUCUCGAUUCUGUGGGUGGGGGUGCAUGGCCGUUCUUAGUUGGUGGAGCGAUUUGUCUGGUUAAUUCCGAUAAUGAUCUGGAUUGCGGCAGGUCAAUCUAGGGAUUGUAAUUGUUUCCCAUCAAAGAGGAAUUCCCAGUAAGCGCAGGUCAGAAGCUCAGAAGUCAGCAC
Molecule: non-coding RNA, 234 nt
Filed under: Poecilia formosa (Amazon molly)
Lineage: Eukaryota; Metazoa; Chordata; Actinopteri; Cyprinodontiformes; Poeciliidae
Description: Eukaryotic small subunit ribosomal RNA
Rfam family: Eukaryotic small subunit ribosomal RNA
Source: Rfam by way of RNAcentral